CUCUUUAUUUUGCAGCUGAGGCUCACUGCUCCCUGGGUGGGCAGUGAGUUGUGGGUUCCAGAGGCCAGCCUGCGGCCUGGCACCCCACCCCCACACCCCCGGGAUGCACCCAUGUCCAGAGGGCGGUGGAUGCUGCCCUCCUAGGCUGACCUCCCAGUAGACCAGGAAUCUGCCUGGAGAUAAUCAAGAUCGACACCGUGCCUUAUAACACACCUUAGUACCCUGUAAUCCGAACGCCCGGGGCUGACUUAACCCCCUCACUGCUGUGGCAGGAGCCCCAGGUCCUUACCCCGUCGGGACAGGAAGCGGAGCGCGGGGCAGGUGGCCCUGGGCUCCUGGGUCGCCUGGAUCUGCCUUCCCCCCACUGAGAAGGCCUCCUGUUCUGCUCCGGAGGACUGAGGUCUGCCCUGUGCACUGGCUGAGAGGACUCUGAGAGGUUAGUGGCUUGUCCAAGAUCAGCUAGGAAGCAAGACCCAGGAUUCCAAUCCAGGGCUGCUGUGAGGAUCAACCAAGAUAAUGUAUGCUAAGGCAUGCUGUGAACGCUACGUGCUGGGUACAGGAGAAUGGAGGCCCCAGAGUAGGUCUCAUGACCCUCUGUUGAUGAAGAUCUUGGCUGUGACCUCUGUGGGAAAUGAGCCAUGGACCAACCAACAUUUCAGUCUGCUUUCUUCAUUAUCCCAGGAGGAAGAUCUUGGCUGUCCUUUCUGUGGAUAAGAAGCAAAGUGACUCAUAAUUACCAUAAGGCAGCAGACUUACUCAUUCUCUAAGAAACAAUAUCUUGGCAGUUAGCUCUGUGUGUAAAGAACAUAGAGACAAACAAUGAACACAAAGCUGAUUUAAUCUUUCUGUAGUCCUGAAGACCUGGCCAUUAAUUCUGGGACUAAGAAGCGUAAAAACUGAUAAUGAGCCAUAGCAUGGCUGAUUCAAUCAUUUAUUAAGAAUGAUUAUAGUCAACCAGGAGCAUGAAGACUAAUACAAUCAUUGUCCAAUGAAGAAGAUCUUGCCUGUUACUUCUGUGGAAUGAAGAUGAUGGUUGAUUUAAUCAGUCUCUACUGAUGAAGAUCUUGGCUGUUAGCUUUGUGGAAUGGAUGCAUGAUGAAUCAGUUAUGGAGUGUGGAAACUUAUAAUGGAUGCUCCCGGCCAGUUUAAGCAUCUCUCUCCAUGGCCUUCAGCUCUCUGGUUGCCUAGCAGCGUAGAGACCAAUAAUGGAGGCACUUGAGCUGAUUCCCUGUGGUUGGCUCCAUUGUUAGGAACACAGACACGAAUAGUGGCCACACCAAGCUGAUUAAAGCAUCUUCCAUGAUUAUGAGCUCUAUAUGUAGGAGAUGGAGACCAGUAAUGGAUGCACUAGAGCCAAUUUCAGGAUUUUUCCAUGGUCACAAGAUGUCGGCUUGUCUCUAUGUGUUUGGUGCAUAGAAUGAAUGCACGCACCCAAGGUGGUUUAAGUAGUGUGCUUUGGCCAGUAAUCUCUACAUUUGUCUGUAGGAACAUGGAAACCAACAAUGGGUGCAUGACUCCAGUGCGUUGAAACGUCUUCCGUGGUCACGAGCUCUGCAGUUGCCUCUUUGUGUAAUGAGCCCAGAGACCAAUAAUGGAUACACUUGGACUUACGAUCAGGUGCUCAUGGAUGCCCCUGUGUGUAAGAUCAUGGAGACCAAUAAUGGAACCCUAAGCUGAUUGGCCACGGUCAAGAUUGUCAUGUUGUUUCCAUGUUGGAAGGAGACCAAGAUGGACAUCCUAAAGGUGGUUGAAGAAUUCUUUCUUGGUCACAGUCUCUAUGGCUGCAUCUGUGUUUCAGGUGUACAGAGACCAAUAAAGAAUACACCUGACCCGGGGUAAGCAUCCCCCAUGUUCAGGCGCUCCAGCCUUGCCUCUCUGUGUGGGAGCAUGAAGCCCAAUUAGAUUGGUGAAUUAAUGGAUGAGAGUAAAGGAAAAGAGGGCCAAUCCUGGACCAAUGAUGACAGCUGGUGGCGGAUGAGUCCUAUACGAUGAAUGCUACGUGUCUGGAAGUCUGAGGUCCAACAUAACGAUCCUGUGGAUCAAUGAGAGAAAUAUACUGGAUAACAUUCUUAUGAUUUUGGAUUUAUGGAUUUCUAUAUUAUUAACGUACAUGGAUCAAUGAUAGAACGAAUAAAAAAUCUAUAAAGAAAUUAAAAAAGGAUGAAGCCUUAUCAACUACCAAUAUAUUUGGCGAGACAAGAAAUCUUUUUGAGAAUCGACACACUCCAUUUGCUGUAAACAUUUCCCAUGGUCAAAAGGUCUGUGAUUUCCUGCAUGUUCUGAGCAUAGAGAUGAAUAAUGGAUAUGCUCCAGCAGCUGUAAGCACUGCCAUCAUUACGUGCUGUCUGGUUGCAUCUGUGAGUUUGGAGCGUAGAGACCAACAAUGGACACACUCAUGCCAAUUUAAGCAUUCUUCCAUGAUUACAAGCUCUAUGGCUGCAUCUAUGUGUUGGAGAACAGAGAUCAAUAAUGGACGCACUUGAGCUGAUGGAAGCAUCUUCCAUGGUCAUGAGUUCUGUGCCUGCUUUAUGCAUUAGGUGCAUAGAGACCAACAAUGGGCACACUCAAGCUCCUUGAAGCAUCUGCACAUGUUGGAGCUCUGUGAGGUUGCAUCUUUGUCUUAGGAGCAUAGAGAACAAUUUGCAGAUGACAAUAGAAAAAAGAGCCAGUCCUGGACCAGGGGUGCUGACUGAUGGCAGAGGAAUCAUGUGAACGGAUGUAUUCCAGGUGAUUUAAGAUCUUCCAUGGCCAGGAGCUCUCUGGUUUUCGGAGCAUGAAGACCAGUAAUGGACCUGUCAAGCAGAUUUAAGGAUUCUUCUUCGGUCACAAAAUCUCGGGUUGCAUUCACGUGUUAGGAACAGGAGACCAUGAUGAACUCACUGGAGAUGAUUCAGUGCCUUCCAUGGGCACAAGUUCAGUGGUUUCCUCUAUAAAAUAGGAGGAUGGAGAUUAAUAAGAGACACUGGACCUGAUUUAAAGAUUCUUCCUUGAUCCUGACCUCUGAGGUUGCAUCUGUUUUAGGAGCCUGGAGACCGGUAAUAGAAGCUCGAGGUGAUUUCCACCUGUAUUGUGAUCAGGGUCACCGUAUUUCCCUUCUAUAAGAAAGAGACCAGCGACAGACAGACACACAACACCUGAGUUAAGGAUUCUUCCCUGAUUGUGAGCUCCAGGGUCGCAUCUCUGUUUUAGGAGUUGGAAGACCAGUAUGCUCUAGCUGAUUUCAGCUUCUGCCCUGAUCAGGAUUAUUACGUUGCCUGCGUUUUAGGAGAGUAAAGCAAGAAUGGACACGCGUGAGCUGAUUUAACAUCUUCCGUGAUCCUGAGUUCUGUGGUUGCCUCUAUGAUAGGAGGAUGGGGAUUAAUGAUGGACAAAUUAGACCUGCUUUAAGGAUUCUCCCCUGCUCAAGAGCCCUAGGGUUGUAUUUUUGUAUUGGGGAGACUGGAGACAAAUAAUGGACACACUCCAGAUGAUUGUGACAUUCUUCCAAGGUUGUGAGCCCUCUGGUUGCAUCUAUGUUGGAGGAGCAUGGAGACCACACACACUACGCUGACUAAGCAUUGUUUUAUGGUGGUGAGCUCCAUGAUUGCCACUGUGUGUUAGAAGCCCAGAGACCAAUGACGGAUGCACCGGAGCUGAUUAAAGCCUCUCCAUGGUCGUGAGCUCCUGCUCUCUCUGUAUAAGAAGAGGACAGAGGUUAAUAAUGGACACACUCUGGCUGAUUGUGACGUUCUUUCAAUGUCACGAGCCCUCUGGUUGCAUCUAUGUUUUAGGAGCAUGGAGACCACAAUGGAUGCACUGGGGCUGAUUUCAUACGUUUAUGGGCGUGAGCUCUGUGGUUCCCUCCAUGUGAUUGGAGGAUGCAGAUUAAUAACAGACACACUGGACUUGCUUUAAGGAUUCUUCCCUGAUCAUGAUCUUUGGGGCUGCAGUUCUGUAGUAGGAGUCUGGAGACCAGUAAAUGAAUGAAGAAAAAGAGGGACAAUAUUGGAUCGAUGAUGGCCACUGAUGGUGUAUGAGUCGAAUAUGAUGAGUACGUGUCUGGAACACUGAGGUCCAACGUGAAGGAAAUCUAAUUCAUUACAUCUGUUUGAACUUUAAACUGUACAUCAGGAACGCCCCAAAAGAAAUCAUAUUAUUAUAAUUUGGAAUGGACAAUAAAUGGACCAUUUUGUCAGAGUGGGCACACUUGUGCUUAUUUCAGGAUUCAUCUACAGUUGUCAUCUUUAUGUUUGCAUCUACAUGUUGGGAGCACGGAGAACAAUAAUGGACACAGUUAAGAUGAUUUGAGCAUCUUCCAUCACCACAAUUUCUGUGAUGCAAAUCUCUAUUAGGAGGACAAAGAUCAUAAUGGUCACUCUUGACCUGAUUUAAGGAUUCAUCCAAGAUCACGAACUGUAUGGUUGCAUCUUUGUGUUGGAGCAUGGAGAACAAUAAUGGGCGCACUUGAGCUGAUGUAAGCCUCUUUCACGGGCUUGAGCUCCUGGUUCCUUCUAUUUGUUAGGGGCAUGGAGACCAAUCCUUAGAACGGACACUCUUGAGCGGAUGUAAGCAUCUCCCAGGGUCAUGAGCUCCAUGGUUACAUCUCUGGUUUAGGAGAAUGGAGACCAAUAAUGGGCACUGCCACACCAAUUCUGACAUUUCCCGUGGCCUCGAACUCAGGGGUUGCCUUAGGAGCAUGGAGACCAGUGUGUGAUGGCUGCACCAUAGCUAAUCAGAUUAUUCUCCAGUCUUGAGGAUCUUUGCCUUAUCCCUGUGGGAAGGAGUGUAUCAUGCUACGUAAGUAAUCAAGUUCUUGGUUUGGUGGUUAGUUUGUGGGUUUUCAUUGUAUCAGUUAAAAAAGAAAAGCUCCCCUCUGUUACCAUGCAACACUAUUACAGUACCACUGACCAUAUUCCCGGUGCUCUGCCUUUCAUUCGUGUGACUUGUUCAUUCCAUAACUGUGGGUCUGUAUCUCCCACUCCCUUCACCCAUUUUGUCCACCCAUCCCUGCCAUCAUUUCUUCAGGUGACCAUCAUUUUC
This is a long non-coding RNA of Ailuropoda melanoleuca (giant panda), 5019 nucleotides long. RefSeq lists it as uncharacterized. The record is from RefSeq and is a predicted model, not a curated record. Lineage: Eukaryota; Metazoa; Chordata; Mammalia; Carnivora; Ursidae. The transcript has 53 exons.